UCCCUGCAGAUGGCGGGGUGCAGGUCCGCUGUCCUGGGGCUCCAUCCAGCCCGUGGGUGGAUGGAUGCUCCCCCUUUUCCCCAUGAGCAGAGAUUUGUUUAGUUCUGUCUUUCCCAUAAUGUUUUUUUUCCUAACCUCAGUGAUUUUUAACCCUUUCCCUCCAGAGGGCUUUGUGCUGUGGUUUGCUAGCAGUGCAUGCCCUUGUUUUAUUCUGUGGACGUCCAGAAGAAUGGACAGAAGUCCAUUCUGCCACUGCUCGCUAGUAAGCAAAGGGCACAGGGGAGAAAACCUGCUUGAAAUGGUGUACCCCUCCCAGACAGAGCACUGUGACAAAAAAUGCAGAACUGGGGACACAGAGGCUAUCAAGCUCCUCGGAGUUCACAGAAGCUGUAACAGCACACCUUCAUAGGAUUUCUCCUCUGCUGGUGCUCAGUUUUUGAUCCCUAGAGAGACCCCAG
Molecule: long non-coding RNA, 458 nt
Filed under: Gallus gallus (chicken)
Lineage: Eukaryota; Metazoa; Chordata; Aves; Galliformes; Phasianidae
Description: long non-coding RNA NONGGAT002942
Source: RNAcentral